Molecule: long non-coding RNA, 636 nt
Filed under: Lactuca sativa (garden lettuce)
Lineage: Eukaryota; Viridiplantae; Streptophyta; Magnoliopsida; Asterales; Asteraceae
Description: long non-coding RNA (LSAT_LNC000060)
Source: RNAcentral
AUGGGUUUUUCGCCAACUUCAUCACCGGGCUAUAGCCCGUCGUCCCCCGGGUACAGCCCAUCAUCUCCGGGAUACAGCCCCACCUCGCCUGGUUAUAGCCCAACCUCACCGGGCUAUAGCCCUACAUCUCCGGGUUACAGUCCCACCUCUCCAACUUACAGCCCAAGUUCACCCGGUUAUAGCCCAACAAGUCCUACCUACUCACCCACUUCACCUAGCUACUCCCCUACCUCACCAAGCUACUCACCCACAUCACCUAGCUACAGCCCUACAUCGCCAGCUUACAGCCCGACCUCUCCGGCUUACAGCCCGACCUCUCCUUCCUACAGCCCGACAUCACCAUCCUACAGCCCAACCUCACCCUCCUACAGCCCAACCUCACCCUCUUACAGCCCGACCUCUCCUUCCUACAGCCCAACAUCACCAUCCUACAGCCCGACCUCCCCUUCCUACAGCCCAACCUCCCCUGCUUACAGCCCAACUUCACCUGGGUACAGUCCUACUUCCCCAAGCUACAGUCCUACUUCUCCAAGUUACAGUCCCACCUCACCAAGUUACAACCCUUCAUCCGCUAAGUACAGCCCCUCGUUGGCUUAUUCUCCUAGUAGUCCAUACAGCCCUACAUCCCCCAACUAC